This 229-nucleotide ribosomal RNA is filed under the name uncultured bacterium. RNAcentral's name for it is "partial 16S ribosomal RNA". It matches the Rfam family "Bacterial small subunit ribosomal RNA", at positions 111 to 334 of the family's 1533-position model. The record is from RNAcentral.
UAACACGUGGGUAACCUGUCCCGAUGAUUGGGACAACCCGAGGAAACUCGGGCUAAUACCGAAUGUGCCCUACAGCUUCAAGGCUGGUGGGGAAAGGAAGCUUCGGCCUCCGCAUCGGGAUGGGCCCGCGGCCCAUUAGCUUGUUGGUGAGGUAACGGCUCACCAAGGCAACGAUGGGUAGCUGGUCUGAGAGGACGAUCAGCCACACUGGGACUGAGACACGGCCCAG